This 1312-nucleotide ribosomal RNA is filed under the name uncultured bacterium. RNAcentral describes it as "bacterial SSU rRNA". It matches the Rfam family "Bacterial small subunit ribosomal RNA", at positions 28 to 1363 of the family's 1533-position model. The record is from RNAcentral.
GACGAACGCUGGCGGCGCGCCUAACACAUGCAAGUCGAACGAGAGAGAGGGAGCUUGCUUCCUCAAUCGAGUGGCGAACGGGUGAGUAACGCGUGAGGAACCUGCCUCAAAGAGGGGGACAACAGUUGGAAACGACUGCUAAUACCGCAUAAGCCCACAGCUCGGCAUCGAGCAGAGGGAAAAGGAGCAAUCCGCUUUGAGAUGGCCUCGCGUCCGAUUAGCUAGUUGGUGAGGUAACGGCCCACCAAGGCAACGAUCGGUAGCCGGACUGAGAGGUUGAACGGCCACAUUGGGACUGAGACACGGCCCAGACUCCUACGGGAGGCAGCAGUGGGGAAUAUUGCACAAUGGGGGAAACCCUGAUGCAGCGACGCCGCGUGGAGGAAGAAGGUCUUCGGAUUGUAAACUCCUGUUGUUGAGGAAGAUAAUGACGGUACUCAACAAGGAAGUGACGGCUAACUACGUGCCAGCAGCCGCGGUAAAACGUAGGUCACAAGCGUUGUCCGGAAUUACUGGGUGUAAAGGGAGCGCAGGCGGGAAGGCAAGUUGGAAGUGAAAUCUAUGGGCUCAACCCAUAAACUGCUUUCAAAACUGUUUUUCUUGAGUAGUGCAGAGGUAGGCGGAAUUCCCGGUGUAGCGGUGGAAUGCGUAGAUAUCGGGAGGAACACCAGUGGCGAAGGCGGCCUACUGGGCACCAACUGACGCUGAGGCUCGAAAGUGUGGGUAGCAAACAGGAUUAGAUACCCUGGUAGUCCACACCGUAAACGACAAUAAAGGGUGUUGGAGGAUUGACCCCUUCAGUGCCGCAGUUAACACAAUAAGAAUCCACCUGGGGAGUACGACCGCAAGGGUGAAACUCAAAGGAAUUGACGGGGGCCCGCACAAGCAGUGGAGUAUGUGGUUUAAUUCGACGCAACGCGAAGAACCUUACCAAGUCUUGACAUCCUGCGACGAUGCUGGAAACAGUAUUUUCCUUCGGGACGCAGAGACAGGUGGUGCAUGGUUGUCGUCAGCUCGUGUCGUGAGAUGUUGGGUUAAGUCCCGCAACGAGCGCAACCCUUACUGUCAGUUACUACGCAAGAGGACUCUGGCAGGACUGCCGUUGACAAAACGGAGGAAGGUGGGGAUGACGUCAAAUCAUCAUGCCCUCUAUGACUUGGGCUACACACGUACUACAAUGGCGUUAAACAAAGAGAAGCAAGACCGCGAGGUGGAGCAAAACUCAGAAACAACGUCCCAGUUCGGACUGCAGGCUGCAACUCGCCUGCACGAAGUCGGAAUUGCUAGUAAUCGUGGAUCAGCAUGCCACGGU